Long non-coding RNA from Lepisosteus oculatus (spotted gar), 523 nucleotides. RefSeq lists it as uncharacterized. NCBI's taxonomy places the organism in Eukaryota, Metazoa, Chordata, Actinopteri, Semionotiformes, Lepisosteidae. The record is from RefSeq and is a predicted model, not a curated record.
UAAAGGGGCAUGACUAUGUAGUUUAGUUAGAAAGUGAGCGAGCGUUGUGCUUUCAGCAACAGCACUGUUGCUCCAGUUCAUACAGGUGCACGCACUGUAAAUGCACACAGCCUGCUUGUACAGGUAUCUCCGUACGCUGUUAGCGCCACAAAAAUCCUGGCCCGCGGUAACGUCUCAUAUGCUCAAAGUAUUAAUGUCUUAUUUAUGAGCGUUACCCUACAAAUAUUUGAGAUGUCAAGAUAUCCAUCGAAGGAGCAAAAUAUGAUCUCCUUAUUCAUUCGGACCUACAACUACGUCACACGUGAAGCCAGCGAUGAGACGUCUCUCUGGUUGAAAAAAGAAAAAAGGACAGAACAGAACACAGAUGAAACGCAACUGUUCUUUCUCGGUGAGACCUCAACCCCCCAGAGGACUUGUGCUGCAAUUACAGACAUGUUGUGGGUUUUGCAUGAAGGACGAAAAAAAUGGAUAGAGUUUCACUAUACCAGCCGUCCAGCUUCGUUGUUGUGAAGGUCAAUCAAGG